This 241-nucleotide long non-coding RNA is filed under the name Elaeis guineensis (African oil palm). Its description in RNAcentral is "long non-coding RNA (EGUI_LNC042319)". The record is from RNAcentral. Lineage: Eukaryota; Viridiplantae; Streptophyta; Magnoliopsida; Arecales; Arecaceae.
UUACUGUAGCCAUAGACUUGAAGACUCAGCUUCUCAAAUCCUAUAGGAUUACUCCUUAUUUACUAAGAUCGAUAGAUCCCAUCUAAGUGUGCAUCCUACUCUUACAAUGAAUCUAUUAUAACCAAUAUACACUACAAAGAUCUAAAUGACUAGGAGACCAUGUUUAUGUGCGGUCAAACUAUAGCAACCCCAUUAUAAGCAGUCGAGAUACCGCAGGUCAAAGAACUACUUACACUACUAC